GACGAACGCUGGCGGCGCGCCUAACACAUGCAAGUCGAACGAGCGAGAGAGAGCUUGCUUUCUCAAGCGAGUGGCGAACGGGUGAGUAACGCGUGAGGAACCUGCCUCAAAGAGGGGGACAACAGUUGGAAACGACUGCUAAUACCGCAUAAGCCCACGACCCGGCAUCGGGUAGAGGGAAAAGGAGCAAUCCGCUUUGAGAUGGCCUCGCGUCCGAUUAGCUAGUUGGUGAGGUAAUGGCCCACCAAGGCGACGAUCGGUAGCCGGACUGAGAGGUUGAACGGCCACAUUGGGACUGAGACACGGCCCAGACUCCUACGGGAGGCAGCAGUGGGGAAUAUUGCACAAUGGGGGAAACCCUGAUGCAGCGACGCCGCGUGGAGGAAGAAGGUCUUCGGAUUGUAAACUCCUGUUGUUGAGGAAGAUAAUGACGGUACUCAACAAGGAAGUGACGGCUAACUACGUGCCAGCAGCCGCGGUAAAACGUAGGUCACAAGCGUUGUCCGGAAUUACUGGGUGUAAAGGGAGCGCAGGCGGGAAGACAAGUUGGAAGUGAAAUCCAUGGGCUCAACCCAUGAACUGCUUUCAAAACUGUUUUUCUUGAGUAGUGCAGAGGUAGGCGGAAUUCCCGGUGUAGCGGUGGAAUGCGUAGAUAUCGGGAGGAACACCAGUGGCGAAGGCGGCCUACUGGGCACCAACUGACGCUGAGGCUCGAAAGUGUGGGUAGCAAACAGGAUUAGAUACCCUGGUAGUCCACACUGUAAACGA
This 768-nucleotide ribosomal RNA is filed under the name uncultured bacterium. RNAcentral's name for it is "bacterial SSU rRNA". It matches the Rfam family "Bacterial small subunit ribosomal RNA", at positions 28 to 809 of the family's 1533-position model. The record is from RNAcentral.